UCUCUUAUUUCUUCGUUUUCUCCCCGUCUGUCUACCCUUUCUCCCUCCCAAUCUCCCUUAUUUUUCCCCAGCUUCCUUUCCUUAUCAUCUUUUUUUCGUAAAGCUUUAUUAUCCUCUAACCCAGAACAGAACUGAAGCGAUUUAUAGAAUUUACAAUAAAUUUCAUCUUGAUAGACACAUAAACCUAGAUCCAAUCGAAUCUGUUAAUCCCCAAUUCUUUUGAGCUUUCUCAUAAUUGAAUUCCAAAAAAAGAUGACCUAAUUAUUCAUCUUUAACUUAGGGCUUGUACGUUGAACUAAUAAUAUAUCGAGUGGAUCGAAUAAAUGGAUAUAUAUGUGAAGACCGAAGAAGAAAAAAAGAAAAAGAUGAAGUUGAUCCAAAUAUCUCUUCCGAUUGAAUUGAUUCUAGAGUUUCUAUCAAGACUACCAGUUAAAUCUCUGACGAGGUUAAGCUGCGCAAGUAAGUACCUGUACAAUUACAUCAAUCAAAAUCCACAAUUUACUAAAUCUCACUUUAUUAAUUAUUCCCAAAAGAAUCCCACCCUUGUGUUUUACACCAAUUAUGUUACUGGAAAACAACAAUGUCUGUUUCAAAGCUUGUUUCGUACCAGAGAUAUUCAGGAUGACGAAAGAGAUAACCACGAUGUCCAAUUGUAUCAAAAAACUAUACAGCAAAAGAAAGGGGAAUUUGUUGGAUAUUGCAAUGGUUUAAGUUGUUUUAGAAACACUAUUACGGAAUUUGCUUUCUUCAUUGAUGUUUGGAACGAUACUACACAAGAAGUUUUGCGGAUGUACAGCAAAGGAGGAGGUAUAGGAGGAGGAGGAAUUUAUAAGUUCAUGUCUUGUGGAUUUGGGUUCGAUUCUGUUAACAAUGAGUAUAAAUUGGUAAUUAUUGUUUUCAUGUUUGAAACUAAGUCCCCUAAGUGUUUCGUUUUUACUUUUGGAAUCAAAUCUUCAUGGACAGAAGUUAGGUCUCCUAAUUCCGGAUUACUACGAACAUGUGCUUCAGCCGUAUUCACUUCUUAUGGAGCCGCAGGAGCAGGCGCAGGAGGAGGAGGAGCUUUGUUUUGGUGGACCACUGAUCCGCAGGUAAUUCUCUUGUUUGACCUCCAUGAAGACAAGUUGCAAUACAUCCGAAUCCCACUUGAAUACAACACACGUACUCGGUGGUUUGAGUAUGAAGGAUUCUUAGUUAUUGCCCGUCUUGAAAAGAAAUCACCAACGUCGCUUACUUUGGGAAAGGUUCACUUGAAAGUAUUGAAGGCUUUCAAAGAUGACCAGGUUUGGGCUGAGGAGACCAUUGAUCUUUCGGCGUAUUCAAUUCCUUUCAGUAACAAUUUUCGGUUCGUCAGCUUCUCCGACCAGGGUGGAUGCCAAAAAUUUUCAUUUCUUCAAUCUGCAAAGGAGAUGUCUCAAGGUGGUUAGGAACCUAGAUUCAUGCAUCUCUGAGAAGGUAUUACCCACAGUUGUUAGACCCAAUGACUACUGGCUGAAUUGUGAGGUUGAAAACAUCUGCGCUUUGAAAACCUUGUUGCCUGUACGAGCUCAAAUAUCUGAUCGUGCUGCUUUAAAUUCGAUGAUGAUGAAAAGCUUGGAGAAUAUGUGGAAUCUGCAACAACCAAAGACAGUUGGAGGAUUUUUCACUUCAUAUUACAAAUCAAAAACCAACAGUCACUACUUCUUCGAUGAUUAGGAGGUUUUACCCAAAAAGAUCGUUGCAGCUGCCAAGGAUGUCCAAGAAAAGAAGGAAAUCUAUACUCCGUACAACAUUCUUCCAUUAGAUGCUGCUGGGGCAUUGCAGUCCAUCAUGCCGCUUGAGGAGCAAAGAGAAUAGGGAGGAGACUUGGACAUACUAGAUUGUCUUAGGGAACUGUUCGGCUUUCAGAAAGACAUUGUCAGGAAUCAAAAGGGAACAUUUGAUUCUAAUGCUUGCGAAUAAUCAUAUAUGACUCCUACCCAAGCCUGAGCCCCUUAACAAGCAGUGGUGUAAGUAGUGAUUGCAAUCUGAGUGCUCGAAAUGGGCAAGGUGUGAUUGCAGAAGCCUUAUUUUAACAACGGUAGCCAAGAAAAAUCCAAUUUAUUUGAAAAGAAGGAUUGGGUAGUGAGCCUGUAUUCUGUAUGUCAGACAAGGAAAUGGUGCAAAGUCAACCUCAAAACCGAACUGGCAUAGGCAGCCAAACUCGAAGUGUGCCACUCGUGCCUAAUCCCGUCCUUACUCAUUCACAAUCAGAAAGAGGACGUUUAAAUGUAAGUUACAACAACAGCGAAGUUAUAUUUGUGGUCAGGAAGAAGAAAGUAACAGAAUAUGUGGUGACUGUAAAAAGUCUAAAGCACAAAAUGUAACUUCUUUUUACUUUUUACAAUUUCAGAAUGUUUUCUUUCAGAACUUCAAAAAAGAAUAAAAAUAAAAUCCUUUUGUUUUUUG
RNA transcript from Papaver somniferum (opium poppy), 2424 nucleotides. RefSeq lists it as uncharacterized. Lineage: Eukaryota; Viridiplantae; Streptophyta; Magnoliopsida; Ranunculales; Papaveraceae. The record is from RefSeq and is a predicted model, not a curated record. The transcript has 6 exons.